GACCAGUAGUAGUUCAGCAUUCAAACGAUCACAACUAGAAUCCGUUGAACACAGUUUUAUUAUAAAACAACUGUUUAUUUCAAAAUAUUUUUUCUUUUUUUAUCAGGAAGUGUUUGUGAACGUGAUUUUCGAAUUGUGAAAGUGAAUUGAAGCGAUAGAUUUGAUAACGAUUUAUUAUUUGAAAUUGGAAUUCUUUAUUUUAUUGUUUUUUUUUUCGUUCAGUUUUAUGGUUGUAGCGUUGUAGUUUACAAGUUGCUUGCGCCAUUGAAUGAUUUAACCUUUUUACCUGAUUUGGUUUACCUACACUUUAUUGAGUAAGGUUAUGGAGUUUUAAGAAUUAGUUGAUAUAAAAAUAAAAUUCAAGAUAUUCUCUUCCACAUAGAAAUAAGCCACAAUUUCUGAAUUUCGUUCUCUUUGGUACAACAAAAAUACUUAAAACAAUAUUACUUAUUCCAGCCUCAUUUUUCCACAGAUAUCACACGACCGACAUUCCGUAGUAAAUAAAAAUGCCAAUUAAGUCAGGCACCAAUGGCUCAACAGUUUUAAUAACACGAGUCGAAAAUUAAUUAAGUGUAAGGCAAUAUUUUCCGCUACAUUACUGAUUGGGAAACAAAUUACUGUGACCACGUGACCGUAAAGGUUGAAAUUCGCAUAGCAUCAUUCUCGGAUCGAGAACGCAAGAAAAUAAAUAAGUGUAUGGGUGUUAAUUAGUGAAAUGAGGUCUUUUCUAGCUAUAUUUUUGAUAUUAGUGUGUUUUGUGGACAAAAGUUAUGGAACAUUCGCUGAGUUUAUGAACAAUCUGCCUACUGAGGUUGCAAACGCGUUCAGUAAUGCUUGGACAUCUAUAACAGACGCCAUCAAGAAACCAGUCAGACUAAAGCGCCUUGGUCCUGGAGGAAGACUGAAAUCAACUCCGUCUUAUGAAAUAGGUUCUCUACCUCCUGAAGACGAAAGAAGUAUAUUCGGGAAUCCUGGCGCCACGCCGCCUUCCUAUUUUCGUUCAACAACAUACUUUGGUAACAAAUUGACAUUACCGGUGCUACCUGCACCAAAGUAUAAGAAUCUCGAUGACUGGAGGGAAAUGCAGAAAGCUCAUUUUGCCAAACGAAAAAAAGUUGCCAACACUGAGACAGUGCCACCGGUGAAACUAAAUAGAAAUAUUUAUAAAAACCGUUUUAUUUUUUAUAAAUAUUAAAAUAAGUAAGUACAGAUGAACUCAAGGUUCAAGGCUCAACCCCCUUGACGCAACUGAAGAUCCAGCGCCUGUAGUUAUAUUCAUAGAACCGCCUGAUGAAGUAACAAGAGAUAAAAAAGGAAGGACUAAACCCAUUACAAGAUACGACGACGAAAGUUUCGCUACUAUGAUGGUUUUGCAAUAAGGGUUUGAACAUUGAACAACCUCCAUGUACAAAAUGACAUUGAAAAAGGCAAAGACAACAAAAUAUCAUACAGUUUAACGUGUACCAAGUAAC
RNA transcript from Trichoplusia ni (cabbage looper), 1472 nucleotides. RefSeq lists it as uncharacterized. Lineage: Eukaryota; Metazoa; Arthropoda; Insecta; Lepidoptera; Noctuidae. The transcript has 6 exons. The record is from RefSeq and is a predicted model, not a curated record.